AUACAUUUCUCGCUUUUUUGACUAAGAUCAAGUAUAGUAUUUAUUCUUAUCAGUUUAAUAUAUGAAUGUGAGUCAUUGACUCACCCAAUAUUAACUCUAUUUUUUAAGGGGAGAGGUUCACCACGGUAGCUUGCUAACAUGACCUUCAAGAGUCGCCUUGAUGUUGCACUAUUGUCUUGGCCUAGCUCUCCCCAC
Molecule: non-coding RNA, 195 nt
Organism: Solanum lycopersicum (tomato)
Lineage: Eukaryota; Viridiplantae; Streptophyta; Magnoliopsida; Solanales; Solanaceae
Source: Rfam